UGAGAGUUUGAUCCUGGCUCAGGACGAACGCUGGCGGCGUGCUUAACACAUGCAAGUCGAACGGAAAGGUCUCUUCGGAGAUACUCGAGUGGCGAACGGGUGAGUAACACGUGGGUAAUCUGCCCUGCACUUCGGGAUAAGCCUGGGAAACUGGGUCUAAUACCGAAUAGGACCACUUGGCGCAUGCCUUGUGGUGGAAAGCUUUUGCGGUGUGGGAUGGGCCCGCGGCCUAUCAGCUUGUUGGUGGGGUGAUGGCCUACCAAGGCGACGACGGGUAGCCGGCCUGAGAGGGUGUCCGGCCACACUGGGACUGAGAUACGGCCCAGACUCCUACGGGAGGCAGCAGUGGGGAAUAUUGCACAAUGGGCGCAAGCCUGAUGCAGCGACGCCGCGUGGGGGAUGACGGCCUUCGGGUUGUAAACCUCUUUCACCAUCGACGAAGGUCCGGGUUUUCUCGGAUUGACGGUAGGUGGAGAAGAAGCACCGGCCAACUACGUGCCA
Molecule: ribosomal RNA, 501 nt
Filed under: Mycobacterium sp. N179
Lineage: Bacteria; Bacillati; Actinomycetota; Actinomycetes; Mycobacteriales; Mycobacteriaceae
Description: bacterial SSU rRNA
Rfam family: Bacterial small subunit ribosomal RNA
Source: RNAcentral